GCAAACUCUGUGCCAGCAGCCGCGGUAAUACAGAGGGUGCGAGCGUUAAUCGGAAUUACUGGGCGUAAAGGGCGCGUAGGCGGUUAGGUGAGUGUGAUGUGAAAGCCCUGGGCUUAACCUGGGAAGUGCAUCGCAAACGAUUUAACUGGAGUACAAGAGAGGGUGGCGGAAUUUCCGGUGUAGCGGUGAAAUGCGUAGAGAUCGGAAGGAACGUCAAUGGCGAAGGCAGCCACCUGGCUUGAUACUGACGCUGAGGCGCGAGAGCGUGGGGAGCGAACAGGAUUAGAUACCCCUGUAGUC
This 300-nucleotide ribosomal RNA is filed under the name uncultured Aquicella sp. RNAcentral describes it as "bacterial SSU rRNA". It matches the Rfam family "Bacterial small subunit ribosomal RNA", at positions 496 to 795 of the family's 1533-position model. The record is from RNAcentral. Lineage: Bacteria; Pseudomonadati; Pseudomonadota; Gammaproteobacteria; Legionellales; Coxiellaceae.